This 511-nucleotide ribosomal RNA is filed under the name forest soil bacterium 5S2.F8. RNAcentral's name for it is "bacterial SSU rRNA". It matches the Rfam family "Bacterial small subunit ribosomal RNA", at positions 38 to 566 of the family's 1533-position model. The record is from RNAcentral.
GGCGGCGUGCUUAACACAUGCAAGUCGAACGAUGAAGCCCUUCGGGGUGGAUUAGUGGCGAACGGGUGAGUAACACGUGGGCAAUCUGCCCUUCACUCUGGGACAAGCCCUGGAAACGGGGUCUAAUACCGGAUAACACUCCUGCCUGCAUGGGCGGGGGUUAAAAGCUCCGGCGGUGAAGGAUGAGCCCGCGGCCUAUCAGCUUGUUGGUGGGGUAAUGGCCCACCAAGGCGACGACGGGUAGCCGGCCUGAGAGGGCGACCGGCCACACUGGGACUGAGACACGGCCCAGACUCCUACGGGAGGCAGCAGUGGGGAAUAUUGCACAAUGGGCGAAAGCCUGAUGCAGCGACGCCGCGUGAGGGAUGACGGCCUUCGGGUUGUAAACCUCUUUCAGCAGGGAAGAAGCGAAAGUGACGGUACCUGCAGAAGAAGCGCCGGCUAACUACGUGCCAGCAGCCGCGGUAAUACGUAGGGCGCAAGCGUUGUCCGGAAUUAUUGGGCGUAAAGA